Molecule: small RNA, 29 nt
Filed under: Bombyx mori (domestic silkworm)
Lineage: Eukaryota; Metazoa; Arthropoda; Insecta; Lepidoptera; Bombycidae
Description: piRNA piR-bmo-2068634
Source: RNAcentral
UGAACCAGUGUAAAGGUGUAUGUGCCAAC